UACGUAGGUGGCAAGCGUUGUCCGGAAUUAUUGGGCGUAAAGCGCGCGCAGGCGGUCCUUUAAGUCUGAUGUGAAAGCCCACGGCUCAACCGUGGAGGGUCAUUGGAAACUGGGGAACUUGAGUGCAGAAGAGGAGAGCGGAAUUCCACGUGUAGCGGUGAAAUGCGUAGAGAUGUGGAGGAACACCAGUGGCGAAGGCGGCUCUCUGGACUGUAACUGACGCUGAGGCGCGAAAGCGUGGGGAGCAAACAGG
This 253-nucleotide ribosomal RNA is filed under the name uncultured bacterium. Its description in RNAcentral is "partial 16S ribosomal RNA". It matches the Rfam family "Bacterial small subunit ribosomal RNA", at positions 524 to 776 of the family's 1533-position model. The record is from RNAcentral.